Molecule: transfer RNA, 64 nt
Filed under: Bolma rugosa
Lineage: Eukaryota; Metazoa; Mollusca; Gastropoda; Trochida; Turbinidae
Description: tRNA-Lys
Source: RNAcentral
UAGGUGGCUGAGAUAAAGCAUUAGACUUUUAAUCUAAUAACGGUAUGUUAGUACAAUACCUCUA